Streptococcus suis 05ZYH33 is the source of this 74-nucleotide non-coding RNA. The record is from Rfam. Lineage: Bacteria; Bacillati; Bacillota; Bacilli; Lactobacillales; Streptococcaceae.
GGGCGCGUAGCUCAGAUGGUUAGAGCGCACGCCUGAUAAGCGUGAGGUCGGUGGUUCGAUUCCACUCGUGCCCA